Molecule: ribosomal RNA, 299 nt
Filed under: uncultured bacterium
Lineage: Bacteria
Description: partial 16S ribosomal RNA
Rfam family: Bacterial small subunit ribosomal RNA
Source: RNAcentral
GAUGAACGCUAGCGGCAGGCUUAAUACAUGCAAGUCGAGGGGCAGCAUGGGUGUAGCAAUACAUCUGAUGGCGACCGGCAAACGGGUGCGGAACACGUACACAACCUUCCUUUAAGUGGGGAAUAGCCCGGGGAAACCCGGAUUAAUACCCCGUAACAUUAUGAUGUGGCAUCACAUUAUAAUUAUAGCUCCGGCGCUUAAUGACGGGCGUGCGACUGAUUAGGUAGGUGGCGGGGGUAACGGGCCCACCCAAGCCUGCGAUCAGUAACUGGUGUGAGAGCACGACCAGUCACACGGGC